Molecule: unclassified non-coding RNA, 1363 nt
Filed under: Hevea brasiliensis (rubber tree)
Lineage: Eukaryota; Viridiplantae; Streptophyta; Magnoliopsida; Malpighiales; Euphorbiaceae
Source: RNAcentral
GAAGGAAGCCAUUAAAUCAAAUGGCGACGGAGCUAGAAGAAUUGAUUGGGUUUCUAUCAUCCCCUUCUCCUCCAGUGAAAAAAAUAGCGGUUGAUAUUGUUCGUGAUUAUACUGGUUCUGAGGAUGGCUUGGAAUCUCUUGGCAAGUAUUCUAACGUCGUGCUUCCUUCUCUGUCUCGCCUUCUUGGUGAAAAAAAGGUGGUUUCUGAACCUGCGGCUCAAGCACUGGUAAAUCUGUCACAAAAGCCAGAGUUGGCAGGUAAGAUGGUUGAGAUGCAUAUGGUUAGGACAUCGAUGGAAACCUUGUACAAGCAAGAUUGUGAAAUCACAAGUCUGCUGAUUAUGCUCCUUGUUAAUCUUACUCAGCUGGAUGCUGGUAUUGAUUCUUUGCUUCAGUCUGCAGAUGAGAAGAUGCAUGGUUUAUAUGUCAUGAAACUUGUGAGAUCAUUUUGUUCGUCCUCCUGUGAGGGAAAAGUUGAUCCCUUUGAACAUGUGGCUUCUGUACUUGUCAACAUUUCUAAGAAGGAACAUGGGAGAAAGCUUCUGCUUGAUCAAAAACGAUGCCUACUAAAGCAAAUAGUCCGUAAUGAUUCUAAGAGCUUGUUACGAAAGAGAGGGGUCGCAGGAACCAUCCGCAACUGCUGCUUCGAAGCUGAGAAUCAGCUGCAAAAUUUGCUUCUGAUUUCUGAAUUCUUAUGGCCAGCUCUGCUCCUGCCUGUUGCUGGAAAUAAGGUCUAUAGUGAGGAAGACACUCGGAAAAUGCCACUAGAGCUUGCAAGUGCACUCUCAAUCGAACGAGAACCCGUUACUGAUCCUGAAAUUCGUGUACAGGCGCUAGAGGCUAUUUAUUUGCUCAUAUUACAGGAAGCUGGCAGAAGAGCAUUUUGGUCAGUGAAUGGUCCCCGGAUAUUGCAAGUGGGCUAUGCAGACGAGGAUGAUCCUAAAGCAAUGGAAGCAUAUGAGCGAGCUGGCUCCUUGCUGAUUCAAGAGAGCGGCCUCGAUGAAGAAUUAACAGAUACGUCUUUGUUAGCAGAGACAUCUUCGUAGACAUCCUACUUUCUUGCUGGUUUUGAUUCUACAAUAGCAACGAGUUCCAACAAUCAAUUAGACAAUCUGCAGGUUGCUUAAGAGUAGUCAAGCUCUAUAGAAGUGGAAGGUCCAAAGUGUACUUUGAAUUAUUAUAUUUUUUGGGUUUCUUGUCGCCGGGUUAGUUAUGAUCCUCUUAAAGGUUGUUAUAUCAAGGACUCGGGUGAUGUAUUCCCAGAGGUUAUUGUUAUUACUAGAUAAUUUAAGGCCCGCGAUACGGGUCCAAUAUAAUUUUACAUUUUACAUAAAUUCACAACUUAAAAUAUUAUAAUCUUUCU